CACAACAGAGGAAUAAGGAGGGAUUUCUGUGUCUACAGAAGGAGGCAUUUCACCACACAGUGACUUCAUUCAUACUGUUUGGGAAAAGUGCAUAUUUCACACACAAAGGCAGCUCUCACUAACUUGCAUUCAGAUUCUUCUGCUUCCCUGAAAUCCCCUCCAUUUCAACAUCCUGCGCUGCUGAAAUGACUCUUCCAUAAAGUGCUCUAGACUGAACACAUAAUCAGCUGUGAAACUGAAUCCACCUGCUGUGUAUUCACCUUUUCUUUCUUUCUGCCACAGAUAAGCCAUUAGUUUCUAUUCAUCAGGCUGGAGAAUGGAGGCGGACUGGAGUGCCGCCUUCAUCAGAGCUUCUCACUAACAUUUGGAGUUCUCAAAUCAACAUCAGGCAAAAAAGAAAAUCGGGAAAAAUAAGUUUAAAAAUAAAGAGGAAGAUCAACUUUAGUCCAUUGUGCUGGAUGUUCAGAGCGCCGGUGACCUUCAGAGGCAGCGCGGCGUCGCCGUCUAUCCGGAGUCAGUCGACGAGAAACGAGCAAGCUGCUGGAACUCUCUGGUUGCAGUUGGAGCUCAUCGGGCUGAUCUGUUUACCUCAGUGGGCGCAUGACUAAUUCAUGAACAUGUGGAAAACCGCGUCGCUCUGGAAGGCGCAGCGCAUUUCCACGUUUGAUCAGAAUCUUUUUAUGAAUUAGUGCUGCUUCAGGCAAGGCCAUUGUUUCAAACAUCCACUGCCACGACUCAAAGAAAAUCUGUUGGAGAAAACACGAGGUCCUUGAAGAUAAAAACAUCUAAACUCCACUUUCCACAUUUAGGGGCACCACAGCCUUAAAAUAAAUUCACUGCAGUAGCACAAAAUUACACUGAAACACAUAUCAACCUUUAAUUUAUUCACUUCACGAAAAUAUCUCAGUUCACGACUUUGAAGAAAAAACAUGACAUGAAGCCCAUUCUGCUGCUCUAUCCUUCAAAAUGGGAAAAACGAGAGACCAUGUAGGAAAGUUACUGGCCUAAAAUUAAAAUAUAUAUAAAAAAAUCUUCCUUUCAUCUCUUCUCACUAACCUGCACAAAAUAUGUCCACAGUGGUUUAAAACAUACAAAAACAUUUAAAUAUCAGAGCCUGGAAAUAAAGUCAGAAGCAGUUUAAACGAGAAAACUUUAUCGUUGUAACAAGAUUUUAAAAAGCUGAGAUUUGUGCCCCAAUGAAGCCAAAAUAUUUUAGAGUAUCAGUAAAACAGCAACACCUGUUAGGUGGAAACAGAGAGGAGAGCAGUGAACCUCUGUACAACUCUUUAACCUGUCAGAGGAACUUACUUUCACAUCUGAUUAAAAUUAGACUUUCUUGUUUUAAC
Long non-coding RNA from Poecilia latipinna (sailfin molly), 1346 nucleotides. RefSeq lists it as uncharacterized. The transcript has 2 exons. The record is from RefSeq and is a predicted model, not a curated record. NCBI's taxonomy places the organism in Eukaryota, Metazoa, Chordata, Actinopteri, Cyprinodontiformes, Poeciliidae.